This 74-nucleotide transfer RNA is filed under the name Culex quinquefasciatus (southern house mosquito). It matches the Rfam family "tRNA". From Rfam's summary of the family: Transfer RNA (tRNA) molecules are approximately 80 nucleotides in length. Lineage: Eukaryota; Metazoa; Arthropoda; Insecta; Diptera; Culicidae. The record is from Rfam by way of RNAcentral.
GCCCGUGUGGAUUAAUCGGACCGCGCGCUGGACUCACAUUCCAGAGGUCGCCGGUUCGAAUCCCGCGGCGGGCA